This is a non-coding RNA of Vicia faba (fava bean), 249 nucleotides long. The record is from the annotation of a GenBank genome assembly. NCBI's taxonomy places the organism in Eukaryota, Viridiplantae, Streptophyta, Magnoliopsida, Fabales, Fabaceae.
AUGGAAAAAAGAAACUGUCGACGCGAGGAAGUGUUUGGAGGCUCCACUGUUGUAUCGAGGAAUCGUCUGUCUCAAGCGUCAUCCUUCUAUGCACAUGACCAGAUACCAGUUGAGGAGGAGGUAUCCGAACAGGUUGAGGUACCCGAUGAUCCUGUUCAGGAUACAUCGGUUGUCCGAUUACAUGCAGCAAUGGAGCAGGCGAACCUCAACUAUCCUAUAGGGCCUUCUGGCACCUCCUUCUUGAUAUAG